CCCUGUUGGACUGUGAGUUCUUGCAGUCUAGUAAAGAGGGCAGGUAAUUCGAUAAAGGGUUAAAAGCCACUGUAAAUGUAGGAUUAGAGGAAUGUAGGCAGACGGUGAUGGGGACGUGGACAUGGGGCUGAUGGAGCACCCAACUGCCCAGCUGUGGGCUGACAGGAUAGUGUGGGUGGUUGAGGGUUGAGCUGGCUUUUGAAGUGUACAGAGAAUUCGCCAGCCAGAUAAGAGCGGAACGCAUCUGAGAGUGAAAAGAUUAUGCAAAGGCUCAGGCGUAUAAAAGAACCAUGUCACAUUCAGGAACUCUGAGGAGUGAGGAGUAGCAAGAGAGCAGUGGGUACUUGGAGCAAAUACGAUUGGAGACAAGGCUGGUGAGGCAGGCGGGAGAAAGCAGGGCUCAGUGUGCCCUGUACUGGAAUCUGCUCUUGCUCUGGGUUGAAGAUAGCAAGUGCAUCUCUGGGCAACUACUGCAGCUGGCUGUGGGGGACUGAUGCAUACUGUUGAGGCUGAUCUUACUCUGUCUCCUCUCUAUAUCUCUAUUAAGAGAAAAAUACAAAGAAUAAAUGAGUAAGGCUCUUGAAACCAUUGAAUUGUACAAACUUUGGUGGUUUUAAAUCUGGAUUUGUGAAUAGCUGAGCCCGUUCACUGUCCCAUUUUGGAGAACCAUGAGGCAUUCUACAAUCUAGCCCUUCUCCAGGUGGAUGCUUACCUGUCCGCCCAACCACAUUUAUCUGAUUCUUCAGGGACCCGCUGACUGAGGCAAUCAUGAUCUGGUACUGCUCCCCGGCCUCCAGUCUGUGGAACGUGUGCUCAAAGACGUGCUUGGGAAUAGUCUGAGAGUCAACCUUUUGACUGUGCCUGAAUGCCGACACCGUGUAGGAAUCAACGUCUCCCCCACCAGGAGUCCAGUUCACCGUCAGGCUAUCUGUUGCUCCAUUGGGAGAAAUGUGAAUAUUUUUGACAGCACUAGGAACUAAAACAGAAAAUAAAUUUAAAAGUCAUCACUUAGAGAAUGAACUGUUGAAAUUUUCAAACAAAGUUUUGAAUGCUUCUGAUGUUUUGGCACCCACUGAGAGAACUCACAUGAAAAAGAAAGUAACAAUUUGCCACUUUUCUCUGAUUUUUCUGUGUGAACUAAAGUUGAUGGGGGAAAGCUUAGGGGGAAGUCAAAGCCGGUUGGACAACAUCAUUGUCACUAUCAACAUGACUUUGUCCCUUCUUGCUGUCUCCCUUUUAUCCCUCCAAAUGCUCAAUCGAAAUACCUGAACUACCCGAAAGUUAAAUGCACCACUGCAUCUAUUCAGGUUCAAGAACAGUAUUUCACAUUACCUGUGAAGCCCUCAAUGAAGGCUGACUGCUGUACAUCCCCGCUAAUCGUCAAGACAAGAAUUUUGUAUUGGCGGCCUGGUGUUAGGGAAGUAAAUCGAUACUCGGUUGCGGUAUUUACAAGGUGAAAAGGAGGAAAUACUUUCAUGUCAUUGAAGAGCAGCUGGAUCUCAUAUUGGUCGACAUCCCCAUUAGCUCCUGACCAAGUCACAUGCAAGUCCUCAGUGCUCCUGUUGCGCAAUGUUAGAUCCUUAACAGGCUCUGGAACUAGGGAGAAAAAUGAGAAGACAUUUCAGGAAAGGAACUGAUCAGAGUUUACCUACAUAAUAAUUUAUGAAUCACAUUCAAGGAACUGGCAACAUCUCCCUUCCCCAAAUAAACCACUAGCACUACUUCAUGCAUAAUUAAACAAGAAAAAUUGGAAGCAACUAUUAACAUUGUGGUUUUUUCCUGACAUAAAUGUUACAUGAUCAGCAUUGGUAGAACAUAAUUAUAAAAUGAGUUAUGAUCUCAAUCAUAAGAUAAAACAAGAAGUCUAGAAUCUAAAUGCCAUGAUGCAGGAAGAUAGGGAAGAAAAAUGGGACAUUUAGCCUUCUUGCUCCCUCACUAUGUUUGCUUUUAUCUACCAAUAAAUAUUCUGUAAUUAUAGGCCAUGGCUUGGCUGAAUGAUGUUAGCACCAAGUGAGACUUACUGGGAAUGUAAUGUACUAAUGAAUAAGCAGAAAAAAUUCAAGGUUCAGAUAAAUUACUAGAGACUUUCAAGUCCAACCAACUGUCAGAUUUUGCAAUCGUUC
This 2123-nucleotide long non-coding RNA is filed under the name Homo sapiens (human). RNAcentral describes it as "HSALNT0369096". Lineage: Eukaryota; Metazoa; Chordata; Mammalia; Primates; Hominidae. The record is from RNAcentral.